Molecule: ribosomal RNA, 472 nt
Filed under: uncultured bacterium
Lineage: Bacteria
Description: SSU rRNA
Rfam family: Bacterial small subunit ribosomal RNA
Source: RNAcentral
AGGACGAACGCUGGCGGCGUGCUUAACACAUGCAAGUCGAACGGAAAGGCCCUUCGGGGUACUCGAGUGGCGAACGGGUGAGUAACACGUGGGUGAUCUGCCCCGCACUUUGGGAUAAGCCUGGGAAACUGGGUCUAAUACCGAAUAGGACCAUGGCAUGCAUGUGCUGUGGUGGAAAGCUUUUGCGGUGUGGGAUGGGCCCGCGGCCUAUCAGCUUGUUGGUGGGGUUAAGGCCUACCAAGGCGACGACGGGUAGCCGGCCUGAGAGGGUGUCCGGCCACACUGGGACUGAGAUACGGCCCAGACUCCUACGGGAGGCAGCAGUGGGGAAUAUUGCACAAUGGGCGCAAGCCUGAUGCAGCGACGCCGCGUGGGGGAUGACGGCCUUCGGUUGUAACCCUUUCAGUAGGGACGAAGCGCAAGUGACGGUACCUACAGAAGAAGCACCGGCCAACUACGUGCCAGCAGCCGC